CAGCAGCCGCGGUAAUACGGAGGGUGCGAGCGUUAAUCGGAAUUACUGGGCGUAAAGCGUGCGCAGGCGGUUCGCUAAGUCUGAUGUGAAAGCCCCGGGCUCAACCUGGGAACUGCAUUGGAAACUGGCGAGCUUGAGUGUGGCAGAGGGGGGUGGAAUUCCACGUGUAGCAGUGAAAUGCGUAGAGAUGUGGAGGAACACCGAUGGCGAAGGCAGCCCCCUGGGCUAACACUGACGCUCAGGCACGAAAGCGUGGGGAGCAAACAGGAUUAGAUACCCUGGUAGUCCACGCCCUAAACUAUGUCAACUGGGUGUUGGGGAAGCGAUUCCUCAGUACCGUAGCUAACGCGUGAAGUUGACCGCCUGGGGAGUACGGCCGCAAGGUUAAAACUCAAAGGAAUUGACGG
Molecule: ribosomal RNA, 407 nt
Filed under: uncultured bacterium
Lineage: Bacteria
Description: bacterial SSU rRNA
Rfam family: Bacterial small subunit ribosomal RNA
Source: RNAcentral